Molecule: small nuclear RNA, 107 nt
Organism: Pan paniscus (pygmy chimpanzee)
Lineage: Eukaryota; Metazoa; Chordata; Mammalia; Primates; Hominidae
Source: Ensembl
GUGCUAGUUUCAGCAGCACAUAUACUAAAAUUGGAAUGAUGCAGAGAAGAUUAGCAUGUCCCCUGCAUAAGGAUGACAUGCAAAUUCAUGAAGCGUUUCAUAUUUUA